UACGGAGGGGGCUAGCGUUGUUCGGAAUUACUGGGCGUAAAGCGCACGUAGGCGGCUUUGUAAGUUAGAGGUGAAAGCCCGGGGCUCAACUCCGGAAUUGCCUUUAAGACUGCAUCGCUAGAAUUGUGGAGAGGUAAGUGGAAUUCCGAGUGUAGAGGUGAAAUUCGUAGAUAUUCGGAAGAACACCAGUGGCGAAGGCGACUGACUGGACAAGUAUUGACGCUGAGGUGCGAAAGCGUGGGGAGCAAACAGG
Molecule: ribosomal RNA, 253 nt
Filed under: uncultured bacterium
Lineage: Bacteria
Description: partial 16S ribosomal RNA
Rfam family: Bacterial small subunit ribosomal RNA
Source: RNAcentral